This 392-nucleotide ribosomal RNA is filed under the name uncultured cyanobacterium. RNAcentral describes it as "bacterial SSU rRNA". It matches the Rfam family "Bacterial small subunit ribosomal RNA", at positions 388 to 795 of the family's 1533-position model. Lineage: Bacteria; Bacillati; Cyanobacteriota. The record is from RNAcentral.
GGAGCAACGCCGCGUGCGGGAGGACGGCCUGUGGGUUGUAAACCGCUUUUCUCAGGGAAGAAGAUCUGACGGUACCUGAGGAAUCAGCAUCGGCUAACUCCGUGCCAGCAGCCGCGGUAAUACGGAGGAUGCAAGCGUUAUCCGGAUUUAUUGGGCGUAAAGCGUCCGCAGGCGGCUAAUCAAGUCUGCUGUUAAAGGCCGAGGCUUAACUUCGGUUGAGCAGUGGAAACUGAUUAGCUAGAGUGCGAUAGGGGUAGAGGGAAUUCCCAGUGUAGCGGUGAAAUGCGUAGAUAUUGGGAAGAACACCAGUGGCGAAGGCGCUCUACUGGGUCGCAACUGACGCUGAGGGACGAAAGCUAGGGGAGCGAAAGGGAUUAGAUACCCCUGUAGUC